Molecule: ribosomal RNA, 257 nt
Filed under: uncultured bacterium
Lineage: Bacteria
Description: partial 16S ribosomal RNA
Rfam family: Bacterial small subunit ribosomal RNA
Source: RNAcentral
UACAGAGACCUCAAGCGUUAUCCGGAAUCAUUGGGCGUAAAGCGUACCGAUAGGUGGUUAUAUAAGUCAGAGGUGAAAUCUCCGAGCUCAACUCGGAAUCUGUCCUUUGAAACUAUAUGACUAGAGGGGCAAAGAGGAAGCUGGAACGAACGGUGUAGUAGUGAAAUGCGUUGAUAUCGUUCGGAACACCAAUAGCGAAGGCAGGCUUCUGGGUGCCACCUGACACUGCUAGGACGAAAGCGUGGGGAGCGAAUGGG